Mycena crocata is the source of this 85-nucleotide non-coding RNA. NCBI's taxonomy places the organism in Eukaryota, Fungi, Basidiomycota, Agaricomycetes, Agaricales, Mycenaceae. The record is from the annotation of a GenBank genome assembly.
UCCCUCUUAGCUCAGCGGUAGUAGCGCUUCACUAGUACCUAUGACGGGAAUGAAGAGGUCAGUCGUUCAAAUCGGCUAGCGGGAA